ACCUAAUUGAUUGCAAUAACCAUACUGGUCGGUCUUUAUUCCAGUCUCUUCUUUAGCUUCGCGUUUAACCGACAGAUAUCGAACUUCUCAUCCAACUCUCGGCAGGAAAGCGAAUACAGCUUUUAGAGUUCGUCACAUACAGUUACUUUGAAUUACUGCUUGGUUUAAAUGUGAAAUCUGUGGAAAUGCAAAUGUUUUAUUCAAAGUCAUUUGUUCAUAGACUGUGAGAAGCACAUACAAAAUACCAUCAUCCUAUAAAAGUAUGUAGCAUAAAACAGAUUUUGAUGUACAAUAUACUGUAACUCUGGUAAGAACUCAUCGCCACUUGCAAAGUUUUCGUUCUGUUUCUCUUCUAAGUGCAUGAUUAUUCAUACACAGACUGGUUGCAGAGGCUUCUCCCUCAGGAAUGAAGCGUAUCUGCUGGCUGGAGAAGCACAAACACUGAAGACAAUGGAGCAGAAGUUCAUAUUUUCACAAGUUAAAGAUUUUUUCUUUUUUUUAGCUCAGUUUGUACACUGGUGUGGUUUUUGUGUCCUAAUCUGCUUCCGACGAGGGCAGACAAACGUUUUGCUCAACACUUUUGGCCCCGAAAGUCACGCUCACAUGCAGCAGGGGUUGCGGUCGGAUUAAGAUUUAAAACUUUUUUGAGAGAAAAUAAAAAUAUCCAGACAGAAAAAGGAUUUCUAGUGAUUUGAGCCAUAUUUGUAACACCAAUGAUGUUAUUUUCUGUAACUCCAUGAGCCAUCUGACAUGCUUAACGUAACAACUGCCUGUUUAUAUGCAAUAAUACUGUUCUAGGUGAAUGUGAUGUAAAAUAGUGGACACUUUUUUUCUUUUUUUGUCUCUUUAUGUAGAUAUGAAACAAGGUUGUGAUCAAAAUAAACGACUCUUUUAGAUUGUGACUCUUUCUCGAAUUGUGACUCUUUUGUUUGUUUGGGAAAACCACUCCACACAGCAGCAGACAAGCUUUACAGCAUUAAAAAAAUCAAAUAAUUUAUUUCUGUGUUCUUUUUCCACAUUAAAUAAAAGCUAUCGGACAUUUCCAGAUCAAAAUCAAGAGAGGGGACAGGGAGGAGGAACAGAGGGAAACAGACAUGCAGAAAAAAAAAAAAAAAAACCCUUUUGCUCUACCCUUUGCACACUUCAUGGAUGGCGAUGGAGGCAGGCGCCCCAGAAAAAGACUGCAGGAAGCCCCUGUGGUUGGUUGGUUGUGUUGUGGGGGACCACUGCUUAUAUAAAUGUUAAUUAUCUGACCGACAAAACUGGUUUCUGGAGGGGAGGGGAGGAUUUAUAAAUGUAGGUCAGGAAUAGCACAGCGGACGUUCAGGAUGAGGAAAUAAACUACUGCUUUGAACACUGAACUGGCAUGUCAAGUCAAAACUGAUUCCAAACGCAGAGAAAACUGGUAAUGCAACACCACAAGCCGUGGCUACAAACUGAUAAAAGAUGACGAAGCCCUUCAGUCUGUGAUCAUGAUCCAAACGGCUGUAAUGCCCAUAAACCUCGUGGUACUGCCAGAGUUUCACAGGAUUGAGAGAGAGAGAAAAAAAAAAAAAGAUGCUAAACAGACUCCUUCAAAACACCUCCUCUUCCUGACGGCCCGUUUGAAAGAAUACGUUCAUUUGCUACCCAUCCAGUCCUUUCGUCAGCGUGUGAAAGAAGAAAGGCCUGAACAGUGAGAGAACACAGAAAAAAAAAAAAAAAGGAGAAGCGAGCGUCCAACACAGGGACAGAAGAUUGAAUGAACCAGAAGGAGUUUGAACGGGGUGAUAACAAUAAAAAAUAAAAAAAAUAAUCUAAACAGUGUGUGAUGAGCAGCAAAAGUUCGGGGUUCUAGAUUGUUUCGCUCAUCGUUCUCACAACAACACCUCCGGAUGGGCUAAAGUAGCACAGAAAUUAAAAAUAAUCAACCCAAAGUCGCCCCCAAACCCAACACAUGAUUCACCAAAAAAAAAAAGAAAAAAAAAAGACAUGCUCUCAAUAUAUCCGAUGAAUAGAACAACACUCGUAUACAAAUCUGAAAAAUAAAAGAAAAAUAAGUAAUCUGAUCCAUUGUUCCAAACGCACACAGACACACGGACAGAACUUUGUGUGGGUGGCAACUCCGUAAACAUUUACUCUCCCUUCCAGACGUGGGGAUGUAAGAGCUCAGCUGAACUGCUGCCGGAACAAAAAAAAAAAAAAAGAAAAGAAAGAAAGGGGGAAUAAACCCAAAACGAGUUCCUGUAGUGUCAUUCAGAGGGAUUCUAACUGUUUGCUGGAGACUUUUGUUUGUUCCGUUGCCAUUGUUUGUAGCCGACUUCACACGUUUUGCAGAUGGCAGUGUCUCGCGGUGCUUCCACUUUGAAUACUGUAGACAAAAGCACACGCGUCCAAUUGCAUAUUUUCGGGGCGCUACAAGCUCGAGGUGGGCGAUCGGGUGAUUUUAUAUUAGGAAGCGUGCUAUAUGUAAGUAUUUUAUUUUUACAGCUCAGUAGCUGCUAGACUCGCCUUGUAGUCGUCUGAGGUUUCCUUUCAUGCUGUUGGUGCUCAUUCAGCCGCCUCUCCAGCGAGUCUCUCGUCUCACCAACAGACUCCAACAGUCCUCGUUCUGCUCUACACUGUGAGCUGGAGAACCACUUCGAGCGUAGCCUUGCAGGGACAGACCAACACCCACAGCGCUGUGUAGUAUGGUCUGGCUGCACCUCAUUAUUAAUCUGCUGUAGGGGCAAAAAAAACAACACUAUUAUGGUUGUAACUCUAUCAACUAAAUACAAUCGAUUGGGUGAUGUGAAGCCCAGGAUGCAGCGAUGGUGCCCCUGCAAAGUAGUGAUUGUUUUGGUGGAACCUUUGCAUGUCGAGAGCCGAAUACUGCCUUGUUGGUAGUUGAAGAGGACGAGAAAGCCGCCUAAAAGUCCACAUUCGGUGAGUCAGACUACUCCUGCCAGAACCUGCAGCAGGUGGAGAACUGGUUCACAAGCUCACUGAGGCUUUGGAGCAGAAUAAAGACACCGAAAAGUCCGUCGAUGAGGCAGCUGAGCGACAACAACAGCGACCUGUUCGGUCUACAGGUGGAGGAAACAUGAGGCGAGAUGGGGCUAGCUUGUUAGCAGCGCAGAUGCAAGUUACUACUUCUGAUUUGAACUUUUAGACUAAAAUAAGCAUAAAAACAGGACGCAGAGACGCGUGACUUGGCCCUCGAGCCUCAUUUCACUGAUUACGUAUCAGAGCAACCCUAAUCACAUGACUUCCACUAAACCUGUGAGGAGAACUGUGAUUCCGACUGUGAUCGUCACAUGAUGGUCUUCAUGUGAUCUUUUAUCCGGAUCGCCCACCCCUGCACAAAUUGCAUUUACAACCUGUGAUAAAGGCUGCUUCCUCAUUUGCUUUUAAAAAUAAAAAAAAAUAGAAGCAGAUUCAGGGUUUAUUCCCCCUUUAGCUAUCAUCCUGUUCUUCAUUCCUUCUCUACAACAUCGAGCACGAACUUACAAAAAUAAGUGUCUGCUCAUGUAACUAACGAGUCCUGCCGUCCUUAUUAGAUCAGAACAAAACGCAGCACCACAAAGGCUCUGAUUUUUCCUGCGCGAGGAAUCCGAAAGCAGAGAGAUAAAGUCCAACAGAACAGAUCCACACCACUGUCAAAACAGCACACACACACACACAUUCGUACGGACACAUACACACUGCAGCAAUUUCCAAAGAAGUGCAUCUGACCUUUGUUCAUUUUCACCGUUAAGAAAAAACACACAAAAGCAGUUGAAGCAAACUUUCUUUGCCAAUUAGUGUGUGCUGGAACAUCCGGGUGCAUCUAUGACGAGUUCCAGGAUCUCAAAAAAUGUUAGCGAGGUUGGCUGUGCAUCAAGUUAGGGCACCUGGGAAGUGCAUUGUGGACUCAGCCGCUCACGAGCAGCGUGAGGUUAUACAGGUGUAUAGUAGACAAAUCUAAAUAAACUGAAAGCAAACGAAAGAAUACAAUAUAAUCUGCUAAGAAUACUCGUCUAUUUUCCUUUUUUUUCUUUUUUAACAUAAACACACACACACAGCAAACAGGAAUCCAGCAUUCGCAACGCUUCGCCUCGACCUGGCGCCGACGUGUCGCCCGUCGGCAGGCAGAUCGCUGCAGUCGCGGCUGUUAGUGCUGACGGACCGAGUGGCACUUGCAACGAGGAGAUUCAGGAUAAUAAUGUUAAUUAGUAAACAGAGAUAUCUGACCACACCGUCAUUGGCAAGGAGUCUCUCUCUUUGAACGACACCGUUUUUCUCCUUUUUGGAAAUUUUGCAGUGGCUGGCAGUGCGUUUAGGGGAAAAAAAAAAACGAGUUCUGAUCUGCAAAAAUUAAAAAUUUAACUCCUCGACCACACCCACAUCAGGGUUCGAUUUAGUAAAAGGACACUGAAGCGGAAAAA
Stegastes partitus (bicolor damselfish) is the source of this 4385-nucleotide long non-coding RNA. RefSeq lists it as uncharacterized. Lineage: Eukaryota; Metazoa; Chordata; Actinopteri; Pomacentridae. The transcript has 2 exons. The record is from RefSeq and is a predicted model, not a curated record.